AUGAAGUUCACGUCUGGUUGAAGGUUGUUGCUGGCUCCUCGGGGCAUGUGCACGCCUUGACCGGAUUAUGUCCCCCUUCACACCUGUGCACCAACUGUAGCUGGGGAUGAUCACGGAGCUGUCGGUUCCGAAUGCCCUCGCUACGAAUGUUUAUACACACCUAUGAUAAAGUCUUUUAGAAUGUUUUGCCAGCGUGUAAAAGCGCGAAUGAAAUACAACUUUCAGCAACGGAUCUCUUGGCUCUCGCAUCGAUGAAGAACGCAGCGAAAUGCGAUAAGUAAUGUGAAUUGCAGAAUUCAGUGAAUCAUCGAAUCUUUGAACGCACCUUGCGCUCCUUGGUAUUCCGAGGAGCAUGCCUGUUUGAGUGUCAUGAAGUCAUCAACUGCUUCGGCUUUGUUUCGAAGUGAAGUUGGAUUUGGAGUGUUUGCCGGCGUGUUCGGCUCCUCCCAAAAGCAUAAACCCCUCCUCCUCUUGGUGGAAAAGUAUCCUUGAUGUGAUAGUCUUUUACGUCGCGGAGAAAGCCUUGAAGUGG
RNAcentral lists this ribosomal RNA (532 nucleotides) under Sarcodon ioeides. Its description in RNAcentral is "eukaryotic LSU rRNA". The stretch from base 217 to 370 matches the Rfam family "5.8S ribosomal RNA". Lineage: Eukaryota; Fungi; Basidiomycota; Agaricomycetes; Thelephorales; Thelephoraceae. The record is from RNAcentral.